Molecule: small nuclear RNA, 107 nt
Filed under: Propithecus coquereli (Coquerel's sifaka)
Lineage: Eukaryota; Metazoa; Chordata; Mammalia; Primates; Indriidae
Source: RNAcentral
AUGCUUGCUUUGGCAGCACAUAUACUAAAAUUGGAAUGAUACAAAGAAGAUUAGCAUGGCCCUGGCACAAGGAUGACAUACAAAUUUGUGAAGUGUUCUAUAUUAAA